AGUGAACGCUGGCGGUAGGCCUAACACAUGCAAGUCGAACGGCAGCACAGUAAGAGCUUGCUCUUACGGGUGGCGAGUGGCGGACGGGUGAGGAAUACAUCGGAAUCUACUUUUUCGUGGGGGAUAACGUAGGGAAACUUACGCUAAUACCGCAUACGACCUACGGGUGGAAGCAGGGGAUCUUCGGACCUUGCGCGAUUGAAUGAGCCGAUGUCGGAUUAGCUAGUUGGCGGGGUAAAGGCCCACCAAGGCGACGAUCCGUAGCUGGUCUGAGAGGAUGAUCAGCCACACUGGAACUGAGACACGGUCCAGACUCCUACGGGAGGCAGCAGUGGGGAAUAUUGGACAAUGGGCGCAAGCCUGAUCCAGCCAUACCGCGUGGGUGAAGAAGGCCUUCGGGUUGUAAAGCCCUUUUGUUGGGAAAGAAAAGCAGCAGGUUAAUACCCCGCUGCUCUGACGGUACCCAAAGAAUAAGCACCGGCUAACUUCGUG
RNAcentral lists this ribosomal RNA (492 nucleotides) under uncultured bacterium. Its description in RNAcentral is "partial 16S ribosomal RNA". It matches the Rfam family "Bacterial small subunit ribosomal RNA", at positions 29 to 507 of the family's 1533-position model. The record is from RNAcentral.